UCAGGAUGAACGCUGGCGGCGUGCCUAACACAUGCAAGUCGAGCGAAGCACUUUACUUGAUUUCUUCGGAUUGAAGGUAUAGUGACUGAGCGGCGGACGGGUGAGUAACGCGUGGGUAACCUGCCUCAUACAGGGGGAUAACAGUUAGAAAUGACUGCUAAUACCGCAUAAGACCACAGCACCGCAUGGUGCGGGGGUAAAAACUCCGGUGGUAUGAGAUGGACCCGCGUCUGAUUAGCUAGUUGGUAAGGUAAGGGCUUACCAAGGCGACGAUCAGUAGCCGACCUGAGAGGGUGACCGGCCACAUUGGGACUGAGACACGGCCCAAACCCCUACGGGAGGCAGCAGUGGGGAAUAUUGCACAAUGGGGGAAACCCUGAUGCAGCGACGCCGCGUGAGUGAUGAAGUAUUUCGGUAUGUAAAGCUCUAUCAGCAGGGAAGAAAAUGACGGUACCUGACUAAGAAGCACCGGCUAAAUACGUGCCAGCAGCCGCGGUAAUACGUAUGGUGCAAGCGUUAUCCGGAUUUACUGGGUGUAAAGGGAGCGUAGACGGAGAGGCAAGUCUGAUGUGAAAACCCGGGGCUCAACCCCGGGACUGCAUUGGAAACUGUUUUUCUAGAGUGUCGGAGAGGCAAGUGGAAUUCCUAGUGUAGCGGUGAAAUGCGUAGAUAUUAGGAGGAACACCAGUGGCGAAGGCGGCUUGCUGGACGAUGACUGACGUUGAGGCUCGAAAGCGUGGGGAGCAAACAGGAUUAGAUACCCUGGUAGUCCACGCCGUAAACGAUAAUAGGAGGGGUCGGGGGGCAAAACCAUUCCGUGCCGCAGCCAACGCAAUAAGUAGUCCACCCGGGGAGUACGUUCGCAAGAAAGAAACUCAAAGGAAAUGACGGGGACCCGCACAAGCGGUGGAGCAUGUGGUGUAAUUCGAAGCAACGCGAAGAACCUUACCUGCUCUUGACAUCCCCCUGACCGUCCCUUAAUCGGGGCUUUCCUUCGGGACAGGGGAGACAGGUGGUGCAUGGUUGUCGUCAGCUCGUGUCGUGAGAUGUUGGGUUAAGUCCCGCAACGAGCGCAACCCCUAUCUUUAGUAGCCAGCGGCCAGGCCGGGCACUCUAGAGAGACUGCCAGGGAUAACCUGGAGGAAGGUGGGGAGGACGUCAAAUCAUCAUGCCCCCUAUGAGCAGGGCUACACACGUGCUACAAUGGCGUAAACAAAGGGAGGCAGAGCCGCGAGGCCGAGCAAAUCUCAAAAAUAACGUCUCAGUUCGGAUUGUAGUCUGCAACUCGACUACAUGAAGCUGGAAUCGCUAGUAAUCGCGAAUCAGAAUGUCGCGGUGAAUAAGAGCCCGGGUCUUGCACA
This 1361-nucleotide ribosomal RNA is filed under the name uncultured bacterium. RNAcentral describes it as "16S ribosomal RNA". It matches the Rfam family "Bacterial small subunit ribosomal RNA", at positions 24 to 1387 of the family's 1533-position model. The record is from RNAcentral.